This 447-nucleotide ribosomal RNA is filed under the name uncultured bacterium. Its description in RNAcentral is "bacterial SSU rRNA". It matches the Rfam family "Bacterial small subunit ribosomal RNA", at positions 330 to 794 of the family's 1533-position model. The record is from RNAcentral.
GCCAGACUCCUACGGGAGGCAGCAGUGGGGAAUAUUGCACAAUGGGGGAAACCCUGAUGCAGCAACGCCGCGUGAGUGAAGAAGUAUUUCUGUAUGUAAAGCUCUAUCAGCAGGGAAGAGAAUGACGGUACCUGACUAAGAAGCCCCGGCUAACUACGUGCCAGCAGCCGCGGUAAUACGUAGGGGGCAAGCGUUAUCCGGAUUUACUGGGUGUAAAGGGGGCGCAGACGGCGAUGCAAGCCAGGAGUGAAAGCCCGGGGCCCAACCCCGGGACUGCUCUUGGAACUGCGUGGCUGGAGUGCAGGAGGGGCAGGCGGAAUUCCUGGUGUAGCGGUGAAAUGCGUAGAUAUCAGGAGGAACACCGGUGGCGAAGGCGGCCUGCUGGACUGCAACUGACGUUGAGGCCCGAAAGCGUGGGGAGCAAACAGGAUUAGAUACCCGAGUAGA